AUAUUUUAAAUGGAACAUUAAAGGAAUGUAGUAUUGUAAUUGUAACUUUGCCAAUAUCUUUAUCUAGAGGCCUGUUGCUAUUUUUGUCCUUUAUGAAUUAUUU
This is a long non-coding RNA of Pipistrellus kuhlii (Kuhl's pipistrelle), 103 nucleotides long. RefSeq lists it as uncharacterized. The transcript has 3 exons. Lineage: Eukaryota; Metazoa; Chordata; Mammalia; Chiroptera; Vespertilionidae. The record is from RefSeq and is a predicted model, not a curated record.